This 72-nucleotide transfer RNA is filed under the name Camelus bactrianus (Bactrian camel). It matches the Rfam family "tRNA". From Rfam's summary of the family: Transfer RNA (tRNA) molecules are approximately 80 nucleotides in length. Their secondary structure includes four short double-helical elements and three loops (D, anti-codon, and T loops). Further hydrogen bonds mediate the characteristic L-shaped molecular structure. tRNAs have two regions of fundamental functional importance: the anti-codon, which is responsible for specific mRNA codon recognition, and the 3' end, to which the tRNAs corresponding amino acid is attached (by aminoacyl-tRNA synthetases). tRNAs cope with the degeneracy of the genetic code in two manners: having more than one tRNA (with a specific anti-codon) for a particular amino acid; and 'wobble' base-pairing, i.e. permitting non-standard base-pairing at the 3rd anti-codon position. RNAcentral also lists the same sequence under 2 other names. The record is from Rfam by way of RNAcentral. Lineage: Eukaryota; Metazoa; Chordata; Mammalia; Artiodactyla; Camelidae.
GAGGGUAUAGCUCAAUGGUAGAGUGCAUGCCUAGCAUGCCUGAGAUCCUGGGUUCAAUCCUCAACACCUCCA